UACGAAGGGGGCUAGCGUUGUUCGGAUUCACUGGGCGUAAAGCGCACGUAGGCGGAUUGUUAAGUCAGGGGUGAAAUCCUGGAGCUCAACUCCAGAACUGCCUUUGAUACUGGCAAUCUAGAGUCCGGAAGAGGUGAGUGGAACUCCUAGUGUAGAGGUGGAAUUCGUAGAUAUUCGCAAGAACACCAGUGGCGAAGGCGGCCAACUGGUCCGAUACUGACGCUGAGGCGCGAAAGCGUGGGGAGCAAACAGG
This 253-nucleotide ribosomal RNA is filed under the name uncultured bacterium. RNAcentral's name for it is "partial 16S ribosomal RNA". It matches the Rfam family "Bacterial small subunit ribosomal RNA", at positions 524 to 776 of the family's 1533-position model. The record is from RNAcentral.